CCUACGGGCGGCAGCAGUCGAGAAUCAUUCACAAUGGGGGAAACCCUGAUGGUGCGACGCCGCGUGGGGGAAUGAAGGUCUUCGGAUUGUAAACCCCUGUCAUGUGGGAGCAAAUUAAAAAGAUAGUACCACAAGAGGAAGAGACGGCUAACUCUGUGCCAGCAGCCGCGGGAAUACAGAGGUCUCAAGCGUUGUUCGGAAUCACUGGGCGUAAAGCGUGCGUAGGCUGUUUCGUAAGUCGUGUGUGAAAGGCGCGGGCUCAACCCGCGGACGGCACAUGAUACUGCGGGACUAGAGUAAUGGAGGGGGAACCGGAAUUCUCGGUGUAGCAGUGAAAUGCGUAGAUAUCGAGAGGAACACUCGUGGCGAAGGCGGGUUCCUGGACAUUAACUGACGCUGAGGCACGAAGGCCAGGGGAGCGAAAGGGAUUAGAUACCCGAGUAGUC
Molecule: ribosomal RNA, 446 nt
Filed under: uncultured bacterium
Lineage: Bacteria
Description: partial 16S ribosomal RNA
Rfam family: Bacterial small subunit ribosomal RNA
Source: RNAcentral